Molecule: long non-coding RNA, 3664 nt
Filed under: Acanthaster planci (crown-of-thorns starfish)
Lineage: Eukaryota; Metazoa; Echinodermata; Asteroidea; Valvatida; Acanthasteridae
Description: uncharacterized LOC110985935, transcript variant X3
Source: RNAcentral
UUCAGCGUGGAAGCAACUUUUGCCAGCGGGAGUUCCUUUCCCAUGCAGCGUUGAUCUGUUCACCUUGACAAUGAAGGACCUGAAGCUGGACUUCUUGAAGAUGAAGAGACCGCUGAUGAGAUGUUGAGAGAGGACAGUGUCCUUGACAUUGUCUAGAUCCAGAAGCUGGGAGGAAGGACAAAUCACCUUUAAUAGUACAGUGUAUGUAACCACCAUUUUAUUCAAUGUAGUAAAAUUCUGACAAUUUCAAGGAUCCAAAGGGUACAAACAUACCAAAAGGGGUGGGUGAAGGCAGAGCAGCAGCUGCAGUAGGUGAAUAUAGCGUUGCAAAUCAGUUCGCAGUGUACUUGAAUGUGAGUCAGUGUGAGUUUCUGUGUGCUUCAGAGAGGUUAUUUAUACCAAGUCAAGUAAAACCACUAAUAAAUCAGAUCUCGGAAACAACUUUUAACCAAUUCACCAAGAAGUAUCUUAAAAAUUGCAUCUAAGAAUUGCAUCGAGUCAAGAAGUAUGCUAUGUGGUUUUUCAGUCACAAGGUUUGGUCAUUAGAGACAGGUAAAAAGGUGUUUAAGCAAGUUGCUGGUGGUAACCGAGUUGGUCAUGUGGUUGGUCGUGUGGUUGGAUAUACUGGUGUCGUUGAGAAUAAGGAUGGAAGUAAAUGCACAGUCAUCAAUGUGUCAGUCAGUCGGUUGGUGGACAAGUACGAGUAAGCGUGUGGCUAAGUAGGUAAAAUAAUGUAAAUGUAGACUAAGUGAACCGGUCAGCUGUCAGGAGUUCAGGUUGGUGGUCAGUCAGUAAUCGUAAGUUCGGAUGUACCGCAGUGAUGUAAAGUUAGUGAAAUAAUAGUUAAAAUGUACCAGGUAAAUAAGGUUGUGGUGUGUUGAUCGGUCAGUCAGUAAGUAAAAGUAAUCCGUGUACAUGUAUGUAACUAAAAUGAAGUGACAGUAAUCAAGUAAGUAGUGGUAAGCUGUAACAGUAUAAAAGUGUAAGCAGAAGUUUUUAAGUAUGUGUAUGUAAUUAAGUAAAUAAGUUGGUUCAGGUCAUUGGUUGGUCUGUUGGUCGACCAGCUCAUUUGUCAGUCAGAGAAAAAGGGAAAGUAGCUAAGAUUCAGCACUGGGUGUUAUUAAUUUAUUUGACGGUCCAGUUGUUUAUUCCGAAAUAAUAAAUCUGCUACCCUUUUCUUCAUCAGAAAUAAAAAGUGCAAAGCCAAAAAAGGUUAAUAACAAAAUGGAAAAAAAAUUUUUAAAAGCAGUAAAGCAGUAAAAUCAAACGAAUCUAAAAACAGAACUUAUAAAAAGAAAUGUUUUAAAAUAAAAAAGAAUUAGACUCUGGGUAGUGAGAGUACAAAUUGGAAAGCAAGUGAUGAGAAUGUUAAAACUCAGCAAGCGAGGCAGUCAACUUGGACAGUGAAAAAGAUGGUACUUGAGCAAGCAAAGCAGCUUAGUGAGCACACGAUGAAAAGACAGCAGGGAUUGGUUCGGGAAAGAAAGAUGGUUCGGCUAUUAAAACGAUCAUUUUGUAUUACGCGCACAUACUAUCAAACAUUUCUAUUCAAGGCACAGCUGUAAUUUGUGACUGCAGUGGGAUGAUGAGAAAAAAGACUUUGAAAUGAAUUAUUUUAUAUCAUAUUGAAUUAUUCGUAUUCAUGAAGCCCAGGCAGUCGGGGUCGAGAAGUUUUAUUCUUGCAGAGUUGGGGACUUGUUUUGUGGUGGGACUUCACAAGACUGGAUUCCACAUGAUUGAUGAUGAAGGGAGAGUAUCCUUGGCAGCCUUCUAGGAUCCAGAAGCAGGGAGGAGGAACAACAGAUGACUGAUGACCUUGCUUGCUGAGUUAAUAGAUAAUUAAAUGCAGUCUCACAGGACAGUGUGUGAUUAAUGAUGAAGAGAAUAAUUAUGAGAAGACAGCAUUAGGAACAGAUUUCCAGGAGCCACAAGCAGGGAAGGAGACUGAAAGAUGACUGACGACUCUACUUGCCGAGACUGUUCCAGGACACGGUGCAAAUCUUAGCAAUCAUCACAGAUGAAUAUCCAGGACCUGGUAAGCAAGAGAACCUACCACUGAUCUGAGAUUUUGCUUGCUGGUUAUCAAGACAAGAAUACCUCAACUCUUAAUUUCCGGCACCCAUGCCCUGUCACUUCAAAUGAUGCAUUUUAUAAUAAUAUAACUGUCAUGUUGAACAGCAGCCAGAUUAAAAAUGACUUAGGUUAAGGUUAUUGUUUUGCUUCAAUUGUUCUCAAAUUUCGAAGUUCCAGUAUAUUUGAAAGACAUGCUCUCCUUGCAGUGAUCUUUAAUUGUAACUCAGCUAAUAUUGUUGCUCCAGUUAGUUGUCAUUCAUUUUGCAAAUUACUUUUAAAAUACUUUUUAAGGAUAAAGGGGAAAAUUAUUUCAUUACUCAUGAAUCUAAUUGGUGGAAUAAGUGUCUGAACCAACACUAUUCACAGUUUUGUAACGCCAUGUAAUUAAAAAACAUUAACAUUUACAAAGACAGAGCAUGGGGUUAGAAGUGUGUGCAGUAAACAGUUCAUUUUGAUGGUGCUGUUAUAUGCUUUCAGACAUUUUUUAAAGAUAUAACAACAGUAUUUGUAGGCAGUGAUGGCACAUGGCAAUGAAAUAUUUUUCUUAAGAUUUAAAUGAACUUUAUACUGGGAAGGCCUGUUUCGCUGUCACAGUCAAUCAAGGACCUUCCUAUUACAAUAUUUAGGCUAGACCAAACUUAUUGAGUUCUUAGCAACUGUAUAAUGAUUUGAAGAAUUAUGGCAACAGAAGGCACUGUUAUAUAGGCAUUUUUACCUGGAGUUUUACUCGAUCGCUCACUAUGAGGGUCGGAAAGGAAUUUUCAGAUGUUUUUACCCAUUGGGUUUUUGAUCUGUUUUUUGCCUUUCCCAGGUAAUUUUAAAAUUAUGUUGGGCAGAUGGAAACACAAAAAAGCAGGCAGUUCAGAAGUGCUUUGAACUCUACAAAAGUACUGAAUUAUUCCCUCUGAAAAUUUGACAGAUAGCCGAUACCACACAAUGUUGUGGUUGUGUUUUCAGUGUACUAAUUAAUGUUACCAGUUUACUCUUAAUGUUCCUUUAGUAUGUCCAAAAUACUAAUACUGGUUUUUCAUGAAGAAUGAGCAAUAAAUCAUGACCUGCAUUAAUAUAUGAAAAUGCUGAUUAGACUUGACCAUUGUUUUGCUCAUUUGAUUUGCAAUUGAACAAAAGAAAUAUGUUUUCCCUUAUUUAAAGUGGCUGUGAAUGGUCUGAAGUCCAUGGAGCAGGACAGGGUCUGUUCUUACGUCUUCACUACAAGAGUCCUGAAGUACUGUAGUCAUCUCCAAAUAACUUUGAUGCGCUGUGGUCAACAUUAUAUUACAGAAAUAAACACAAAAUUCACAAAAGCUGUAAGACAAAGUGACAUGAACAUUUAUUCUAAUAAUGAAGCAUAUUCAACUCUAGUCGGGCAUCAAAAUUUAUAUUUUGAUUUAGGGCUUUCACUUUAAGAUUCUUUCCAAUGUCCAGCUUGUUUAUAAAAGACACUAUAAGCAGGAAUGAAGGCAGUGAACACAGUUCACCUUUUAUAUUGAUGAACUUAAAAAAUUCCUCAACAUUUACUCAAGGUAAGCACCUUCAAUUAAGAAUGACAUGCCUUCCCAAGCAUCUUUCUUAAUCAAUGCUGGAAAAUGAA